Long non-coding RNA from Sycon ciliatum, 1475 nucleotides. RefSeq lists it as uncharacterized. NCBI's taxonomy places the organism in Eukaryota, Metazoa, Porifera, Calcarea, Leucosolenida, Sycettidae. The transcript is spliced from 3 exons. The record is from RefSeq and is a predicted model, not a curated record.
GAAAGUUUGUUUGGUCCUCAGAAAGCCCUGCCAAUGCGGAGACGAACACGAAAGACGUUCUUGCGCUUGCUUUCGGAGGUUUCCUUCCCCGUAGUCGGCCUAGACAUUUGUCCUUGCCGCAAAGUGAGUUUCGGUCGGAUAAUCCUGAUCAUAAUUUUGGACCCUUCUCGAAUCCACACCAUCGUACAUUUCGAAGUGGCUAUCAGGAGAACUUUGUGAGGGCAAUGUUCCUGGAAGAAAGCGAUGUCCAACGUGAAUGGUAUGGCUGGUCACUCGGCGGUUAGAAACCUCAAGAGGCAAGGCUUCAUGAGUAUCACGGUCGUUCCAAACACAGCAGAUACUGCUAGUCUUUUUGGAUGAAAUCUGACAUGCUGGUUAUGAUUCAUUGUCACGUGGCCGUUCAGCAGUGAUGUCAUGGAGGAAGGCACUGAGCAACUCGGCAUUAUUGUGCAUCCUCUUGGCCAAGGACGCGACCACAGUGGCGACACGUCGUCUAGGGCUCAGCACCCCCUCCCUAUCCCUGUCAAUAAUACAACUCGAUAGGUGUCAGCUACUGACAGGCCAGAACUCAUCUCAGCACCCGAUGGACAGUGGAGUGGAGCCGCCUGGGAUGUUUACUACUACAAUGUGAUCUGGUGAGAAUCUCCUUCCCAUCUGGCUCUCAACAUCGGCUAUAAUCAUAUUGGAACCACGAUGAGAAUCAUGUACACGUAGGCACUCACGACUAUGAUGCAUGCAAAGAACAAGAAAUCACAGCAAUAUCCUAAUCAUACAUGUACAGUGUACAACACCAUCCGAUACUGGUACAGAAACGUGCCUAUGCAAGCAUUGCUGGAGAGAUUGCCCAACAAACAGAACAUGCAGAAAUCUUGACCAGAACACAAUGGAACAUGUUCUCUUCACUGCCAUGCCAUGCCUCCCAGUCUACACAAAAUAACUUAUAUAUAGCAAUGAAUGUAACAGACUACGGUGAUAAUGAGAAAUCAAGAUGCUGGCAAGGUUGAAGCAGCACAUGGUGUGUAAUUUCUACAACUCACAGGUCUAGAUCACAAUUCUAUUAUUCCCCUCAAAAUUCUGAAGACAAUGACCGGUCCCUGCCUGGAGGAGGACUAGACCAUAGCCUAGUGAUAGAGGAUCGCUGACCAUAAGCGAGUGUCCCUGGUUGAGUCAAUUUUUCUUCAGACUUUUCGCUUUUUAAUUCCCUGAAAUUUAUGGACACUUUUCUCCUCCUUGCAAUUCUUACAAUUAUUUUUGAAUCCUGCAUCCAUGAUCAGGAGGUACCGCAAGUAAAAAGUUUGUUUUGGCCUUUUCAAUGAUUUCAAUAACACUAACUACAGUGUACAUCACAAUCACAAUGUGCGUAUCGUGCUGGUUAUUAGUCUAGAUUGCAUUUACACAAACAUUUUAGGUGGCGUGCAUAGAAAACGGUUGUGCGAGAGUGUGAUCUGCAUGCCAAUACUUAUAGUUAUAUGCCA